Molecule: ribosomal RNA, 804 nt
Filed under: Klebsiella michiganensis
Lineage: Bacteria; Pseudomonadati; Pseudomonadota; Gammaproteobacteria; Enterobacterales; Enterobacteriaceae
Description: partial 23S ribosomal RNA
Rfam family: Bacterial large subunit ribosomal RNA
Source: RNAcentral
CCCGGUAAACGGCGGCCGUAACUAUAACGGUCCUAAGGUAGCGAAAUUCCUUGUCGGGUAAGUUCCGACCUGCACGAAUGGCGUAAUGAUGGCCAGGCUGUCUCCACCCGAGACUCAGUGAAAUUGAACUCGCUGUGAAGAUGCAGUGUACCCGCGGCAAGACGGAAAGACCCCGUGAACCUUUACUAUAGCUUGACACUGAACACUGGUCCUUGAUGUGUAGGAUAGGUGGGAGGCUUUGAAGUGUGGACGCCAGUCUGCAUGGAGCCAUCCUUGAAAUACCACCCUUUAAUGGCUGGUGUUCUAACGUGGGCCCGUAAUCCGGGUUGCGGACAGUGUCUGGUGGGUAGUUUGACUGGGGCGGUCUCCUCCUAAAGAGUAACGGAGGAGCACGAAGGUCAGCUAAUCCUGGUCGGACAUCAGGAGGUUAGUGCAAUGGCAUAAGCUGGCUUGACUGCGAGCGUGACGGCGCGAGCAGGUGCGAAAGCAGGUCAUAGUGAUCCGGUGGUUCUGAAUGGAAGGGCCAUCGCUCAACGGAUAAAAGGUACUCCGGGGAUAACAGGCUGAUACCGCCCAAGAGUUCAUAUCGACGGCGGUGUUUGGCACCUCGAUGUCGGCUCAUCACAUCCUGGGGCUGAAGUAGGUCCCAAGGGUAUGGCUGUUCGCCAUUUAAAGUGGUACGCGAGCUGGGUUUAGAACGUCGUGAGACAGUUCGGUCCCUAUCUGCCGUGGGCGCUGGAGAAUUGAGGGGGGCUGCUCCUAGUACGAGAGGACCGGAGUGGACGCAUCACUGGUGUUCGGGUU